AGACCAAACUCCCUCAGAAAGCUGAAUUAAGCUCUUCCUAAUUUACUUUCACACUCAAAUCCCUAGCCCCACCAAAUCUCUCAAUAGCAAGAAGAAAUCUGAAUUGCUGUCAUCCUCAAGGGCAGAAAGAUUUAACUUUUUUUCUGGUAUUGCUUAGACUUGAGAAUGUACAGAUAGUUGGGUAGGAGUGAGGUCUCAGAGACAGUGCUGUGAGCUGCAUGUAAAUUCUCCUCCUCUUCACUAGGGGCACUGUCAGCAUCCAGGUGCUGCCUUUCUGCCCCACAGCAUUGUUUGUACCUUAAAGAAGGAUGGUUAUGCAGACUGUGAGGUCAGUACUGUUCAUGUUGAGGGGUGAACUUCCUCUUCCCUCAGCAUAAUUAUCACCCCCAGAGAAACUCCUAUUGCUUGUACCUCCUACAAUAAACCCAAAGCCAUCGUAGGCGUCACAUUCCCUGUACUUUGUUCUUCAUCAUUCUCUCUUCCUUAUACUCAGCUGGCUGUUACCCAAUACCUAGGACUCUGUCUUCUGAGAUGCAUUAGACACUAGAGGAGUCAUAGAUAAAUGAAACUGAUGGGCUAAUUCAUGUUAAAAUCCGAAUGGCCAACAUCAGCUCACUGGAGUCACUCCUCUUGACAGAACCAGCACUUUAGGGAUUACACCUUAAUUCCUUGUAUCAGUUAGAGAUAGAUCAUGGGAAUAU
RNAcentral lists this long non-coding RNA (701 nucleotides) under Bos taurus (domestic cattle). RNAcentral's name for it is "long non-coding RNA NONBTAT008115". Lineage: Eukaryota; Metazoa; Chordata; Mammalia; Artiodactyla; Bovidae. The record is from RNAcentral.